Non-coding RNA from Acanthosepion pharaonis, 79 nucleotides. The record is from the annotation of a GenBank genome assembly. NCBI's taxonomy places the organism in Eukaryota, Metazoa, Mollusca, Cephalopoda, Sepiida, Sepiidae.
UACGAUCACAGAAGUUAAGCAACGUCAAGCCUGGUUUGUACAUAGAUGGGUGACCGCUUGGGAAUACCAGGAGCUGUCA